AUACGGAGGGAGCGAGCGUUAAUCGGAAUUACUGGGCGUAAAGCGCGCGUAGGCGGCUUUGUCAGUCGGAUGUGAAAGCCCUGGGCUUAACCUGGGAAUGGCAUUCGAUACUGCAGAGCUAGAGUAUGGUAGAGGGAAGUGGAAUUUCCGGUGUAGCGGUGAAAUGCGUAGAUAUCGGAAGGAACACCAGUGGCGAAGGCGACUUCCUGGGCCAAUACUGACACUGAGGUGCGAAAGCGUGGGGAGCAAACAGGAUUAGAUACCCCAGUAGUCC
RNAcentral lists this ribosomal RNA (274 nucleotides) under uncultured bacterium. RNAcentral's name for it is "partial 16S ribosomal RNA". It matches the Rfam family "Bacterial small subunit ribosomal RNA", at positions 523 to 796 of the family's 1533-position model. The record is from RNAcentral.